GCCACUCCCUUACCUCAGUGCGCCCCUAGAUCCGUCGGUGUCGGAACGGGUGGCGGUGGCUUAGGGUGAUGUCGGCUGUGGCGACGGCUGGGUAAGGGGAGAGAGGAGGCAACGACACUGGCUGUCACUGGAUCUGGCGCUCAGGAGCAGCAUCGGGGCGAACCACGACCGAAUCCAGGGAGCGACGCCGUCGGACUCCACGCGGCUCGGCUGCCGCCACCGACUGCUGGUGGGCGUCCCCGCCCGUGUCCGACAUCUCUUCCCCUUCUCCACCUCCCGCAGCUCGAUGUUGU
Molecule: long non-coding RNA, 293 nt
Filed under: Hordeum vulgare
Lineage: Eukaryota; Viridiplantae; Streptophyta; Magnoliopsida; Poales; Poaceae
Description: long non-coding RNA (HVUL_LNC011819)
Source: RNAcentral